This 348-nucleotide long non-coding RNA is filed under the name Nicotiana benthamiana. Its description in RNAcentral is "long non-coding RNA (NBEN_LNC014371)". The record is from RNAcentral. Lineage: Eukaryota; Viridiplantae; Streptophyta; Magnoliopsida; Solanales; Solanaceae.
CUCAAGCUCAUCAAUUAAGUCUAGCAAUAAUUCAGAUAACCUUUCUUUAGACAAUAAUUUAAUCUUGUCUUUGAGAUGAAUUACACUUACCUCUUUUUCAUCAUUUGAUUCUCCAAUGGCCAUAAGAGCUUGUUCAUCUUCAACUUCUGAAUUCUCAUUUGAGGUUUCUCUCCAAGCAUCAACCAUGGCCUUUUUUGAUCCUUUGUUCCUUUUAGGUUUAGCCUGUUCCUUAUUCAUGUUCCUUCGUUUAGCUAUUUCCUUCUUCCAUUCGAUUUCCUACUGAAGACAAUUCUUGAUCAUGUGGUCAGUCUUGCCACAUUUGUAGCAGCCCCUGUUGGCCUGUUUCUC